Molecule: ribosomal RNA, 96 nt
Filed under: uncultured bacterium
Lineage: Bacteria
Description: partial 16S ribosomal RNA
Rfam family: Bacterial small subunit ribosomal RNA
Source: RNAcentral
CACCGCCCGUCACACCAUGGGAGUGGGUUGCACCCAGAAGUCAGUAGCUUAACUUAAUUGGGGGCGCUGACCACGGUGUGAUUCAUGACUGGGGUG